GACGAACGCUGGCGGCGUGCUUAACACAUGCAAGUCGAGCGGAAAGGCCCUGCUUUUGUGGGGUGCUCGAGUGGCGAACGGGUGAGUAACACGUGAGUAACCUGCCCUUGACUUUGGGAUAACUUCAGGAAACUGGAGCUAAUACCGGAUAGGAGCUCCUGCUGCAUGGUGGGGGUUGGAAAGUUUCGGCGGUUGGGGAUGGACUCGCGGCUUAUCAGCUUGUUGGUGGGGUAGUGGCUUACCAAGGCUUUGACGGGUAGCCGGCCUGAGAGGGUGACCGGCCACAUUGGGACUGAGAUACGGCCCAGACUCCUACGGGAGGCAGCAGUGGGGAAUAUUGCACAAUGGGCGGAAGCCUGAUGCAGCAACGCCGCGUGCGGGAUGACGGCCUUCGGGUUGUAAACCGCUUUCGCCUGUGACGAAGCGUGAGUGACGGUAAUGGGUAAAGAAGCACCGGCUAACUACGUG
This 468-nucleotide ribosomal RNA is filed under the name uncultured bacterium. RNAcentral describes it as "partial 16S ribosomal RNA". It matches the Rfam family "Bacterial small subunit ribosomal RNA", at positions 28 to 507 of the family's 1533-position model. The record is from RNAcentral.